CUUCACCGUAAGAGCGAUGAUAUACAUUGUACUUAAGUUAAAAGAACUCAUUGGUACAUGUCAGCGCCGGGAUUCGAACCCGCAUCGUGAGAAGGGGGCGCUUACCCGACUGAGCUACCACCGCUCGCUAAACUGUAUCGCUUAUACUACAAGAAAUUCAACAUCAUCUUGAAUUUAUUUCCACCAGAAAUAAUGCAGUUACUCCAAUGAACCAGUUGUUAUGCACACUCCGAUAUUAUGCAACUGGCAGUCAGUUAAUUACUUGUGGAGAUGUGAUAGGUGUGGAAGAACCAACAGCUUGCAGAAUCAUUCAUAGAGUUACUCAUGCAAUAGCAUUAUUGUAUAAAAUAUAUACAUUAAAUCUCCUGAUACCAUUCAGGAACAACGUUUUUUUGCUCUCUAUAAUGUGCAAGUAUGGUUCCAAUACCUACAUUGCACAAUAAAUCUUGUUCUUCCCUUGUAAAAUUAGGGGCACGAACACGAGAAGAAGCUGCUUGACUAUUCAUUUUACUUUGAAAUCACAACAACAAAUAAAUACAAACACCACCACGCGGUGAAAGCCGAAA
Molecule: non-coding RNA, 566 nt
Organism: Plutella xylostella (diamondback moth)
Lineage: Eukaryota; Metazoa; Arthropoda; Insecta; Lepidoptera; Plutellidae
Source: RefSeq, a predicted model, not a curated record